CAGAACAUUCUACAUGUAGUGAGAAGCCACUGAAUGGAUUUUUAACAAUGGAUGAGCAUAUUCUGAUUUUUGUCUUAAGAAGGUGAUUUUCUGCAAAUAUGGAAAUGAACUGGAAGUGGGCAAAGGUAAUAACAGGGAGACCCUUCGGAGGGUAUUGCAGCUGAAGUGAGAGAUGGUGGCCAGAAUUGGAAUGGUGAACACCUGAGCGACCAUCUGGAGCCCACACAUCCUCAACAGAUCACACUGCUGCUUGGCCACUGCUCUCCACCCUCUUCUGAGGCUGCUGCUUAUACCACAGUGUUGAUGGCCUCCUCUCUGCUCCCCAGAGCAGAUGCUCCCACCAACACUGCUGCUCUUGGGCAUCAGAUAGGUUCUGCGAGCUUCACCAUUGUCAGAAGGCCCAGAUGGCUCCGGGAGGUCCCAUGGAUGCUCAGCCCAAACCAGGUGUGGGCUGUGCCCGCCAGCCCACUUUGUGGAGCUCAGACAGGCUGGA
This 493-nucleotide long non-coding RNA is filed under the name Homo sapiens (human). Its description in RNAcentral is "HSALNT0031065". The record is from RNAcentral. Lineage: Eukaryota; Metazoa; Chordata; Mammalia; Primates; Hominidae.